GCUUAGAGUUUGAUCCUGGCUCAGAUUGAACGCUGGCGGCAGGACUAACACAUGCAAGUCGAACGGUAACAGGAUAGCUUGCUAUCGCUGACGAGUGGCGGACGGGUGAGUAUUUACUUAGGGAUCUGCCUCUGAGUCGGGGGAUAACUAUUGGAAACGAUAGCUAAUACCGCAUAAUGUCUACGGACCAAAGCGGGCUUCGGCUCAUGCGCAGAGAGGAACCUAAGCGAGAUUAGCUAGUUGGUGAGGUAAAGGCUCACCAAGGCGACGAUCUCUAGCUGUUCUGAGAGGAAGAUCAGCCACACUGGAACUGAGACACGGUCCAGACUCCUACGGGAGGCAGCAGUGGGGAAUAUUGCACAAUGGGGGAAACCCUGAUGCAGCCAUGCCGCGUGUGUGAAGAAGGCCUUC
Molecule: ribosomal RNA, 411 nt
Filed under: uncultured bacterium
Lineage: Bacteria
Description: bacterial SSU rRNA
Rfam family: Bacterial small subunit ribosomal RNA
Source: RNAcentral